CAGUCGCCGCGGGAAUACGGAGGGUGCAAGCGUUAAUCGGAAUUACUGGGCGUAAAGCGCACGCAGGCGGUCUGACAAGUCAGAUGUGAAAUCCCCGGGCUUAACCUGGGAACUGCAUUUGAAACUGUCAGGCUGGAGUCUUGUAGAGGGGGGUAGAAUUCCAGGUGUAGCGGUGAAAUGCGUAGAGAUCUGGAGGAAUACCGGUGGCGAAGGCGGCCCCCUGGACAAAGACUGACGCUCAGGUGCGAAAGCGUGGGGAGCAAACAGGAUUAGAGACCCCUGUAGUCCCUGUCUCUUAUAC
Molecule: ribosomal RNA, 301 nt
Filed under: uncultured bacterium
Lineage: Bacteria
Description: partial 16S ribosomal RNA
Rfam family: Bacterial small subunit ribosomal RNA
Source: RNAcentral